UACGUAGGUCCCGAGCGUUGUCCGGAUUUAUUGGGCGUAAAGCGAGCGCAGGUGGUUUAUUAAGUCUGGUGUAAAAGGCAGUGGCUCAACCAUUGUAUGCAUUGGAAACUGGUAGACUUAAGUGCAGGAGAGGAGAGUGGAAUUCCAUGUGUAGCGGUGAAAUGCGUAGAUAUAUGGAGGAACACCAGUGGCGAAAGCGGCUCUCUGGCCUGUAACUGACACUGAGGCUCGAAAGCGUGGGGAGCAAACAGG
This 252-nucleotide ribosomal RNA is filed under the name uncultured bacterium. RNAcentral describes it as "partial 16S ribosomal RNA". It matches the Rfam family "Bacterial small subunit ribosomal RNA", at positions 524 to 776 of the family's 1533-position model. The record is from RNAcentral.